CGUAGGUGGCAAGCGUUGUCCGGAAUUAUUGGGCGUAAAGCGCGCGCAGGCGGUUCCUUAAGUCUGAUGUGAAAGCCCCCGGCUCAACCGGGGAAGGUCAUUGGAAACUGGGGAACUUGAGUGCAGAAGAGAAGAGCGGAAUUCCACGUGUAGCGGUGAAAUGCGUAGAGAUGUGGAGGAACACCAGUGGCGAAGGCGGCUCUUUGGUCUGUAACUGACGCUGAGGCGCGAGAGCGUGGGGAGCAAACAGGAUUAGAUACCCUGGUAGUCCACGCCGUAAACGAUGAGUGCUAAGUGUUAGAGGGUUUCCGCCCUUUAGUGCUGCAGCUAACGCAUUAAGCACUCCGCCUGGGGAGUACGGCCGCAAGGCUG
This 372-nucleotide ribosomal RNA is filed under the name uncultured organism. Its description in RNAcentral is "bacterial SSU rRNA". It matches the Rfam family "Bacterial small subunit ribosomal RNA", at positions 526 to 896 of the family's 1533-position model. The record is from RNAcentral.